Molecule: long non-coding RNA, 2063 nt
Organism: Nerophis lumbriciformis (worm pipefish)
Lineage: Eukaryota; Metazoa; Chordata; Actinopteri; Syngnathiformes; Syngnathidae
Source: RefSeq, a predicted model, not a curated record
UCCAAUCAUAUUUGCUCUUCCUGGAAAACACGCAUGCGCAUUUAGUGGGCGAAUGUGACUUGUAUCGAUUGGAGGAAACAAUUCAGCAUCGAAGGAAUAACGACUGAAAUAUUGGAGUGUCAAAAUGACAAAACGAAAACCUGCAAAACGAUGGAGAAGAACCGGUAAAGAAGUCGACUCAAAUAAACGAUCAAGAAGGACUGUACAAUUGCCACCAAUGUGAAUGUGGAGACUGAUGAGCAAUGUCUAAGAUGUAGCAGCAGGGGAACAGAAGGAGCCCAAAACACUGCUCUUCAUAUGGAACACAUCCAACCUCCAGGUGUCCAUGCAGGAUGUACCACUCUGGAACAUCAAACCUCUCCCUACCCGCCAGCACAUGAACAUAUUUCUACUUUUGACUCUAUCAAAGACAAUGGAAAACCAUUUUCCAGAUCAGCCCUCAUAGAUCCUCCUGAUGGCCUAACAACUGAACUACAUGUCGAUGCUGAGUAUGAUCCAUCUCAAUCAUUUGAGGAAUCUCUCCCUGAUAUGGGGGAUUGGAUGUACAAUGACGGGCAUAUGUUUAAUGAAGAAUUUGAAGAUAGUUUGAGUGAGGAGUGUGCAGAAGAGUCAAAUAUCAAGGACACAACAGACAAACCAUUAUAUGACAAUGCAUCAGUAACCGUGGCAGAGUGCCUUCUGAUCAUCAUGGCUUAUGAAAACUGUCAUAAAGUCACUGAUAAGGCCCUAUAAGCGAUUUGCUGAAAAUGUUCAAGUUGCUUUGUCCCGAUAAUAUGAAUGCAGACUGCUUAAACAGUGUGCAGAAGUUCAAAAACUUUCUUUUAUCCCGCUCUGCAUCAUCGCCUAUUUUAUUACAUAAAUACUGCAGUAAUUGUUUUGGGCCAUUAGAAAGUAAACAAAUAAAAUGUCUGUCUUGUGGGACCAGUGUGUCAGAAGAAAGAUCCUCAUCCUUUAUAGAGGUUCCAAUUAAGGCUCACAUAAGGUCAUUGUUCCUCAAGCCAGGUUUUCAGGAGAAGCUUAACUUCAGAUUAAGCAGAAAGAAGGCAGAUGCUAACAACAUUGAAGAUAUAUAUGAUGCAGAAGUUUACAAACAGCUUGUCGAUAGGUUUGGUCCUCUUAGUGACCCUAAAAACAUCUCACUUGGAACACCGAUGAAGACAAAAAUUGAUAUUUGUUAAGGCUCAUACAUGGUACUCAAAAUAUACCUAUGCAGAUGGUAAAUGUAGUCAAACUUGUGCAGUCUAUUCCUGUUAUUUCACAAACUAUUAAACCAGGGAAUGUCAUAGCUGAAUUUUACAGACAUAUGACUAAAGAUGAUAGUUUCUGUCAGGAAAACAAAUAUUUGUCUAGGAUUAAACUAUAUGGAGCACCUAGUGAACUUCUAUUGGACACAGUUCACCUCUCUGCAUUGCAAAUACAUGCUGGUCACUGCAUCAAUUCUGGAACAGUAAGCAUCUUUCACAGGGCACAAGUUAAGAGAAAUUAUCUCACAUCAAAACACUAUGGUAAAGGUAAUAGUAGAAACAAUUUUACAGUUUUUUUUUCAAAUGACGGACAAACAAAGUAUGGACAGAUUGAUUUCUUCUUUAUCAAAUGGGCCCUCCUUCGUGAAUUCAAACAUGCAGGGUUUUCUUUGCUGCAAGAUAGUGUAACAAAUGGUACAUGAAGUCAUGUUAUUCCCCUAUUGGAAACCUCUGCCAGUACAGUAGUAUGAUUGGAUGACAUAUUGGGUAAAGUUGUUUUCCUUGACUUCACAUCUGUGCCUGGCAUUGUGUUUGCAGUUCAUUUCUGUGCCUGGCAUUGUGUUUGCAGUUCAUUUCCCAAACUCAACUGGCCUAAGAAGUCACAAAUCAAAUAUUUGAUCAUUGUUAUAAAUGCUCUGAAAAUACACACCGAUGAGAUGUUGCCGUGGAUGCUGUAAAAGUCUGUAAAUAUGUACUGUAUAUGGAGUAUCAUUGUUGAUUAAGUUUUUGCAUUGUCUGUAAUAUUUCAGUGGCCAAUAUAUUAAAAUGUACUUGUUAAAUAAAACCACUGUCUUUUUUAAUGAAUAUUUAGGCCUACUA